RNAcentral lists this ribosomal RNA (460 nucleotides) under uncultured bacterium. Its description in RNAcentral is "partial 16S ribosomal RNA". It matches the Rfam family "Bacterial small subunit ribosomal RNA", at positions 338 to 795 of the family's 1533-position model. The record is from RNAcentral.
CCUACGGGUGGCAGCAGUGAGGAAUAUUGGUCAAUGGACGAGAGUCUGAACCAGCCAAGUAGCGUGAAGGAUGACUGCCCUAUGGGUUGUAAACCUCUUUUAUAUGGGAAUAAAACGUUCCACGUGUGGGAGUUUUUAUGUACCAUAUGAAUAAGGAUCGGCUAACUCCGGGCCAGCAGCCGCGGGCAUACGGAGGAACCGAGCGUUAUCCGGGUUUAUUGGGUUUAAAGGGAGCGUAGGUGGAUAGUCAAGGCAGUUGUGAAAGUUUGCGGCUCAACCGUACAAUUGCAGUUGAAACUGGCAGUCUUGAGUACAGUAGAGGUGGGCGGAAUUCGUGGUGUAGCGGUGAAAUGCUUAGAUAUCACGAAGAACUCCGAUUGCGAAGGCAGUUCACUGGACUGCAACUGACACUGAGGCUCGAAAGUGUGGGUAUCAAACAGGAUUAGAUACCCGUGUAGUC